RNAcentral lists this transfer RNA (72 nucleotides) under Stegodyphus mimosarum. It matches the Rfam family "tRNA". From Rfam's summary of the family: Transfer RNA (tRNA) molecules are approximately 80 nucleotides in length. Their secondary structure includes four short double-helical elements and three loops (D, anti-codon, and T loops). Lineage: Eukaryota; Metazoa; Arthropoda; Arachnida; Araneae; Eresidae. The record is from Rfam by way of RNAcentral.
GCCUUCAUGGUGUAAUGGUUAGCACACUCGGCGCGUAUUCGAGAGGUCCAGGUUCGAGUCCCGGCGACGGCA